This 906-nucleotide ribosomal RNA is filed under the name marine metagenome. RNAcentral describes it as "bacterial SSU rRNA". It matches the Rfam family "Bacterial small subunit ribosomal RNA", at positions 8 to 896 of the family's 1533-position model. The record is from RNAcentral.
AGAGUUUGAUCCUGGCUCAGGACGAACGCUGGCGGUGUGCUUAACACAUGCAAGUCAACGAGAAUUUAUCUUCGGAUAAUAGUAAAGUGGCGAACGGGUGAGUAACGCGUAAAUAACUUGCCUUGGAGAUUGGGACAACAUUGGGAAACCAGUGCUAAUACCAAAUAAUGCAGCGGGCCCUUCGGGGCAUAGUUGUUAAAGUAGGCUUCGGCUUACACUUCAAGAUAGAUUUGCGUCCGAUUAGUUAGUUGGUAGGGUAAUAGCCUACCAAGACCGAGAUCGGUAGCUGGUCUGAGAGGAUGAUCAGCCACACUGGAAUUGAGAUACGGUCCAGACUCCUACGGGAGGCAGCAGUGAGGAAUUUUGCACAAUGGGCGAAAGCCUGAUGCAGCAACACCGCGUGAUUGAUGAAGUUUUUAGGAAUGUAAAAAUCUGUCGUAAGGGAAGAAAUGUUUCGGAUGUUAAUACCAUCUGUUACUGACGGUACCUUACAAGAAAGGACCGGCUAACUUCGUGCCAGCAGCCGCGGUAAUACGAGGGGUCCUAGCGUUGUCCGGAUUUACUGGGCGUAAAGGGUACGUAGGCGUUUUAAUAAGUUGUAUGUUAAAUAUCUUAGCUUAACUAAGAAAGUGCAUACAAAACUGUUAAGAUAGAGUUUGAGAGAGGAACGCAGAAUUCAUGGUGGAGCGGUGACAUGCGUAGAUAUCAUGAGGAAAGUCAAAUGCGAAGGCAGCCUUCUGGCUCAAAACUGACGCUGAGGUACGAAAGCGUGGGGAGCGAACAGGAUUAGAUACCCUGGUAGUCCACGCCGUAAACGAUGAGUAUUUGGUGCUGGGGGAUUCGACCCUUUCAGUGCCGUAGCUAACGCGAUAAAUACUCCGCCUGGGGACUACGAUCGCAAGAUGA